Canis lupus familiaris (dog) is the source of this 2280-nucleotide long non-coding RNA. RefSeq lists it as uncharacterized. The transcript is spliced from 3 exons. The record is from RefSeq and is a predicted model, not a curated record. Lineage: Eukaryota; Metazoa; Chordata; Mammalia; Carnivora; Canidae.
AGAGAGAAUUGAAGGACAGAUUUUGCCUUUUGCUCUGCGGACUAAAUUCUAUUCUCACUGGAGACCAGAGUGGGUGACCAGAGUAUCUCACGACUCACUUAUCUGCGUAACCCUCUCUUUAAUGGACUCAAGAUCUGUAAGGCGCAUCCAGUGGAAGAAGUCUGCACGUCAGCUGACGGAAAAUGUGGGUGUGCACACACGAGCACAUAUUGGGUAAACCCUCUGAGCAUGGCACAAUGUGUGCUAGGCCCUGGGAGAAGAAGAUGAAUGAAGCUCAAUGAAGCUCAUGGGAAGAUGGCCAUAGUAUUCACCCACUUCUAACUGCGACAAGAGCUAUGUGAACCAGCAGCAGCCUUGGCCUGAAAAAGGAACAUUUCCUGAUGCGGGGUAAAGCUGAGUUAUCUCUAUUCCUGCAGCAAAUGGCGCAAAGUUUCAGAAUGCCAAUCUCAUAUCAGAGAUUCUUUAAAAUUCCUGACUUUUUAAUCUGCUGCCCAGCAGAUACAUGGUUCUGAAAGAGGUAUUGCCUACAAGCUCCCUCAGUGGCCUCCUGACCGGCAACGCAUCUGCAUUUUUUUUAAGACUUUAUUUAUUCAUGAAAGACACACAGACAGAGAGAGAGAGGUAGACACACAGGUAAAGAAAGCAGCAGGCUCCAUGCAGGGAGCCAGAUGUGGGACUCGAUCCCAAGACUCCAGGAUCAUGCCCUGGGCUGAAGGCAGAUGCUCAACUGCUGAGCCACCCAGGCAUCCCCACAUUCCACAUUUCUAAUGCCCAUUACAUUCCCCUGUUGAGAAAAAAGCACAUAGCUUUCCAUUUGCACAUUUCAGUAACUUUACAGAACACACAGAAUAAUGCAUGAAACAAUUCUGUAGGUAACAGAACUUUAAAUCUCGGGGGUUUGCAUUGCAUGAAGCCUCACUCUGAGAAUGAUCUCUAACUCCGAGGCUGUUUGCAAGUAACAAAUUUUAAUUAAAAAGUAUAAAUUGCCUCAAACCCAGAGAACCUUAGCUUACGCCAUUUUGCUAAUUUAGGAGAUUAUUUCAUAUUUAAAGGAUCACAACUGGACUGUAAUCACCAUCCAUAUAUAUUGGCUUGAUUACAGAUUGUUGACAUUAAGUGCUAUUAAGAUGACCUUUGAAAUAUUACUUUCCCUUUCUAUUAGAGGCUUUUGUGUAAGGUUCUGAAAAUGAAAGGCUCAUUAGACACCAUUAAAAUAGGAUUUAUUCCAUAUGUGUAACCAAUAAUCAAGUAGAAUAUUGCUCCUUCCCCUAAUCAGCUACUUAACGUACUGAGAAGCAUACUUCAUGUUCAAAGCAGUAAUAACAGCAAACCUUUCCUGAUCAGGUUUCUGUACCAUCACUCAUGUCAACAAAACCCAAACAGAAAGGAGUCUAGGAUGCUGGACAUGCUUUUUAAAAAUAUACGUUUGAUUUCAAUUAAGGCUCAGUGUUUAUGACCCUUGGAGGUACAUACUUUCACAAUUUCAUCGGUCAAGACCAAUUAAUCCCAUUAGCGGUGGUUGCGGUGCAGUCUGCCUGCAGCUCUGGGGACGGACCGAUGAAUUAUUGCUGGCAUACAUCUUCUGCUUACAGCUCAAAGACAAUGGGAGGUGAAAAGCACUGGUGGAAAGGCCAGCAAAUAUUUCUAAUGCCGUGGAUAUAGUCAAGGUUACUUCCACCAUAAGACCAAGAGUUCAAGUCCUCUUGAACCACAGGGACACCUGCCAAAGGUGCAAGUGAGGGAGACAGCCGGGAGCUGAAGGCCGGAGCCAUCUCACACACUUGAGAGGAGGUGAGAAAUCCACCUCUAAUAUUCAGCCAAUUUUCCUGCUGGGACAGUGCUCCCCAGCUCAAGGUGUCAAUGAGUUGCCUGGGCCUCUUGUUAAAAUGCAGAUUCUGAUUCAGUAGGUGUGGAGUGAGGCCAGACGUGGUGCAUUCCUAAGAGUCUCCUUGGCUACACUUCUAAAUGUUGAGUGUUCAAAGAUUAUCCUUUGAGAAGUAAAAUUCUAGGGAUCAUUAAACUAAUCUUAGGUUGACAAUACACAGUUUAAUGUUUUUUUUUUGUUUUGUUUUGUUUUUUAAGGAAGAGAGAAAAUAAACAAAGGACUAGAGCAAGAAUCAAGAAAUAAAGAAAGGGAUUGCUUUUGGCAAACUAUGGCAGCUUCAUCCUUCAAAGUGUGGAAGAGUAAAAUCUAAUUUUAAAACGUAGGCUGGGAAGAUGACAGAAAGUGCUGUCUGGGGGGAAAAAGUAGAAGAAAAGUUGAAAAAAAAAAAGGACAGA